AGACCCGAAACCCGGUGAUCUAGCCAUGGGCAGGUUGAAGGUUGGGUAACACUAACUGGAGGACCGAACCGACUAAUGUUGAAAAAUUAGCGGAUGACCUGUGGCUGGGGGUGAAAGGCCAAUCAAACCGGGAGAUAGCUGGUUCUCCCCGAAAGCUAUUUAGGUAGCGCCUCGUGAAUUCAUCUCCGGGGGUAGAGCACUGUUUCGGCUAGGGGGCCAUCCCGGCUUACCAACCCGAUGCAAACUGCGAAUACCGGAGAAUGUUAUCACGGGAGACACACGGCGGGUGCUAACGUCCGUCGUGAAGAGGGAAACAACCCAGACCGCCAGCUAAGGUCCCAAAGUCAUGGUUAAGUGGGAAACGAUGUGGGAAGGCCCAGACAGCCAGGAUGUUGGCUUAGAAGCAGCCAUCAUUUAAAGAAAGCGUAAUAGCUCACUGGUCGAGUCGGCCUGCGCGGAAGAUGUAACGGGGCUAAACCAUGCACCGAAGCUGCGGCAGCGAACGUAUCACUUAAAGCGAUUCAGCGGAUGACGAUUGACGGAG
This 544-nucleotide ribosomal RNA is filed under the name Salmonella enterica subsp. enterica serovar Rissen. RNAcentral describes it as "partial 23S ribosomal RNA". It matches the Rfam family "Bacterial large subunit ribosomal RNA", at positions 711 to 1229 of the family's 2925-position model. The record is from RNAcentral. Lineage: Bacteria; Pseudomonadati; Pseudomonadota; Gammaproteobacteria; Enterobacterales; Enterobacteriaceae.